RNAcentral lists this ribosomal RNA (301 nucleotides) under uncultured bacterium. RNAcentral's name for it is "partial 16S ribosomal RNA". It matches the Rfam family "Bacterial small subunit ribosomal RNA", at positions 509 to 807 of the family's 1533-position model. The record is from RNAcentral.
CAGUCGCCGCGGGAAUACGAAGGGGGCUAGCGUUGCUCGGAAUUACUGGGCGUAAAGGGAGCGUAGGCGGACAUUUAAGUCAGGGGUGAAAUCCCAGAGCUCAACUCUGGAACUGCCUUUGAUACUGGGUGUCUUGAGUGUGAUAGAGGUAUGUGGAACUCCGAGUGUAGAGGUGAAAUUCGUAGAUAUUCGGAAGAACACCAGUGGCGAAGGCGACAUACUGGAUCAUUACUGACGCUGAGGCUCGAAAGCGUGGGGAGCAAACAGGAUUAGAUACCCCAGUAGUCCCUGUCUCUUAUAC